RNAcentral lists this ribosomal RNA (433 nucleotides) under uncultured bacterium. RNAcentral describes it as "partial 16S ribosomal RNA". It matches the Rfam family "Bacterial small subunit ribosomal RNA", at positions 29 to 507 of the family's 1533-position model. The record is from RNAcentral.
AACGAACGCUGGCGGCAUGCCUAACACAUGCAAGUCGAACGAGACCUUCGGGUCUAGUGGCGCACGGGUGCGUAACGCGUGGGAAUCUGCCCUUGGGUUCGGAAUAACAGUUGGAAACGACUGCUAAUACCGGAUGAUGACGUAAGUCCAAAGAUUUAUCGCCCAGGGAUGAGCCCGCGUAGGAUUAGCUAGUUGGUGGGGUAAAGGCCUACCAAGGCGACGAUCCUUAGCUGGCCUGAGAGGAUGAUCAGCCACACUGGGACUGAGACACGGCCCAGACUCCUACGGGAGGCAGCAGUGGGGAAUAUUGGACAAUGGGCGAAAGCCUGAUCCAGCAAUGCCGCGUGAGUGAUGAAGGCCUUAGGGUUGUAAAGCUCUUUUACCCGGGAUGAUAAUGACAGUACCGGGAGAAUAAGCCCCGGCUAACUCCGUG